Molecule: ribosomal RNA, 403 nt
Filed under: Fusobacteriota bacterium
Lineage: Bacteria; Fusobacteriati; Fusobacteriota
Description: Fusobacteria bacterium partial 16S ribosomal RNA
Rfam family: Bacterial small subunit ribosomal RNA
Source: RNAcentral
UGGGGAAUCUUGCACAAUGGGGGAAACCCUGAUGCAGCGACGCCGCGGGAGCGAUGAAGGUUUUCGAAUCGUAAAGCUCUGUCCUAUGGGAAGAUAAUGACGGUACCAUGGGAGGAAGCCCCGGCUAACUACGUGCCAGCAGCCGCGGUAAUACGUAGGGGGCGAGCGUUGUCCGGAAUUACUGGGCGUAAAGGGUUCGCAGGCGGCAUGGCAAGUCCGAUGUAAAAGGCGAAGGCUCAACCUUCGUAAGCAUCGGAAACUGUCAAGCUUGAGUGAAGGAGAGGCAAGUGGAAUUCCUAGUGUAGCGGUGGAAUGCGUAGAUAUUAGGAGGAAUACCGGUGGCGAAGGCGACUUGCUGGCCUUCAACUGACGCUGAGGAACGAAAGCGUGGGUAGCAAACAGG